This 578-nucleotide ribosomal RNA is filed under the name uncultured bacterium. RNAcentral's name for it is "bacterial SSU rRNA". It matches the Rfam family "Bacterial small subunit ribosomal RNA", at positions 102 to 676 of the family's 1533-position model. The record is from RNAcentral.
ACGGGUGAGUAAUGUCUGGGGAUCUGCCCGAUAGAGGGGGAUAACCACUGGAAACGGUGGCUAAUACCGCAUAACGUCGCAAGACCAAAGAGGGGGACCUUCGGGCCUCUCACUAUCGGAUGAACCCAGAUGGGAUUAGCUAGUAGGCGGGGUAACGGCCCACCUAGGCGACGAUCCCUAGCUGGUCUGAGAGGAUGACCAGCCACACUGGAACUGAGACACGGUCCAGACUCCUACGGGAGGCAGCAGUGGGGAAUAUUGCACAAUGGGCGCAAGCCUGAUGCAGCCAUGCCGCGUGUAUGAAGAAGGCCUUCGGGUUGUAAAGUACUUUCAGCGGGGAGGAAGGCGAUAAGGUUAAUAACCUUGUCGAUUGAUGUUACCCGCAGAAGAAGCACCGGCUAACUCCGUGCCAGCAGCCGCGGUAAUACGGAGGGUGCAAGCGUUAAUCGGAAUUACUGGGCGUAAAGCGCACGCAGGCGGUCUGUUAAGUCAGAUGUGAAAUCCCCGGGCUUAACCUGGGAACUGCAUUUGAAACUGGCAGGCUUGAGUCUCGUAGAGGGGGGUAGAAUUCCAGGUGU